RNAcentral lists this ribosomal RNA (592 nucleotides) under Thalassoma lunare. RNAcentral describes it as "partial small subunit ribosomal RNA". It matches the Rfam family "Bacterial small subunit ribosomal RNA", at positions 619 to 1441 of the family's 1533-position model. The record is from RNAcentral. Lineage: Eukaryota; Metazoa; Chordata; Actinopteri; Labriformes; Labridae.
GAGUGGUUAAGAUAAUUUUAAACUAAGGCCAAACGACUUUUUAGCUGUUAUACGCGCGAGAAGACAUGAAGCCCAACUACGAAAGUGGCCUUAAGCCCCUGACCCCACGAAAGCUAGGACACAAACUGGGAUUAGAUACCCCACUAUGCCUAGCCCUAAACAUUGAUAAUACCCUACCCAGUUUAUCCGCCCGGGGACUACGAGCGUCAGCUUGAAACCCAAAGGACUUGGCGGUGCUUUAGAUCCACCUAGAGGAGCCUGUUCUAGAACCGAUAAUCCCCGUUCAACCUCACCUUUCCUUGCUCAUUCCGCCUAUAUACCGCCGUCGUCAGCUUACUCUUUGAGGAACCAGCCGUAAGCGCAACUGGUACAACCUAAAACGCCAGGUCGAGGUGUAGCGAAUGGAAAGGGAAGAAAUGGGCUACAUUCAAUAACAAUAAUGCAUACGAACGAUGUCCUGAAAUAAACAUCUGAAGGAGGAUUUAGUAGUAAGUAGAGAGUAGAGUGCUCUGCUGAAGCCGGCCCUGAAGCGCGUACACACCGCCCGUCACUCUCCCCGAGCUAACCAUAAAAAUUAAUAAUAAGCAAAACU